AAAUAGGCUACGUUAGAUUAUUUUGUAUGAUAGAUUAGGCUGAUGUGUGUAUUUGAACUUGAUCCCUAUUUUGUAUUUGAACUUGAUCCCUAUUUUAUAACUAUAUUCUGCACAGAAGACUUACAGUUAAGUCGUCUGGAAUGUUGGACGACUUAACUAUAAGUAGUCUGGAAAGUCUUCUGAGCAGUGACCUUUUGUAACUAUAUUUCGGAUAAUAUAAAGGGCUAGACCGUCUC
This 236-nucleotide long non-coding RNA is filed under the name Brassica napus (rape). RNAcentral's name for it is "long non-coding RNA (BNAP_LNC024166)". The record is from RNAcentral. Lineage: Eukaryota; Viridiplantae; Streptophyta; Magnoliopsida; Brassicales; Brassicaceae.